GUGCUAGGAUUACGGCCUAUUACUUUUAAUUGUAGUAAAAAAUACAUAACAGAAAAGGUGCCAUCUUAACCAGUUUUAUUUGUACAGUUCCAUAGUGUUAAGUGCUUUCACCUGGCUCCACUCUAGAUUUACAUUGUGAUUUCUCACAUACAGAAUGCUGCGGAGAGACACAGUCAACCUCAAAGAAAAGGCAGAGACUUGGAGACUGACUUUGCUGAGAAAAAUACAGAAGGAAUUCCAAGGCUCUUCCGGCUACGAGGACUGACCACACAGGUCUGCUGGCACAGUUGUGUAACCCAAGACUGAAGCUGCAAACCAAAGUAGCAAUGCCAGCAGGCAGCAGGCAGAGCAGAAGACUCUCAGGGCCAGGAAGGCACAGGGAAAAUGUUCUGUGAACCUGAAGGAGAGACCCACUGUCACGGCAGAGCAAACCGAACGUGGCUACAUGAAGCGGAAUGGCUGCUUUGCCCUCCGUUUAUCAAGGUCUUUGGAGAUGCCAAUUGGCAGGAUGCCAACGGCCCCUUCUGAGUGGUGUUCUGGGGACCUCUCAGGCCACAGUUCCGUGAGCACUGGUCCUUUCCCUCUGCCCAUCUGUCAUUGCCCGACCUGCCACCACCACCCCCCCAGGCGCUCCCCUGCUCUCGCCCUGCAGAGAGAGGAGAAGUCUGCAGUUAGGUGAAUUUUCUUCACUGACAUCCUCAUCCUUCGGAGGUCUUGGGAAGAGUCUGCAGAGAUAAAAAGAGAAGAAAUUAAUCUAUUCCCAAGAGAGGGCCUGCCUCAGCUGGCUGACAGCUUAAUCUCCCCGGGCUUCCCAAACAUUCCUUUUAUUUUAAUGCGCUAGCUUUUUAUAAAGUACUGUUGAAAAGAAACAGAAUUUUGGAUAAUUGGGCAGUAGCAGCAUCUUUUAAAGCAAAAUGGAUACAGUCUAUGAAUGGGAUCUGUAAUAAACACCAUAGGAGACAGGCCUUAGUUUUUAGCAACAAGAAGCAUUUAGCCCUCUAUCCUCUCCUUAGCUACAUUCUCACUUCUUGGCUUUUUCCCCCUGCAUGGAUUUUGAUGUCAAAAGGAAAAGGAGGCAUUGCUCACGUAUGCAUACCCGUCCCUCCAUGGAUCAUCUCUGGGGCCCCAGGACCAGCUAAAUGUUGGGGGUUAUUGUUGGAGCCACCCAGCUCGUCCCUGGCACCGUCCUCUUCACCACAGCCCGUUGUCCCCUCUCUCUUCUCAGAACAUCUCAGAAGUGAUUGCUCGGUGA
This is a non-coding RNA of Microcebus murinus (gray mouse lemur), 1252 nucleotides long. Lineage: Eukaryota; Metazoa; Chordata; Mammalia; Primates; Cheirogaleidae. The record is from RefSeq and is a predicted model, not a curated record.